Heligmosomoides polygyrus is the source of this 71-nucleotide non-coding RNA. NCBI's taxonomy places the organism in Eukaryota, Metazoa, Nematoda, Chromadorea, Rhabditida, Heligmosomidae. The record is from Rfam.
GCGCUGGUGGUGUAGGGCGAUCAUCGCCGCCCGGAAAGCAGAUGAUGCGGGUUCGAGUCCCGCUUGGGGCA